This 466-nucleotide ribosomal RNA is filed under the name uncultured bacterium. RNAcentral's name for it is "partial 16S ribosomal RNA". It matches the Rfam family "Bacterial small subunit ribosomal RNA", at positions 28 to 507 of the family's 1533-position model. The record is from RNAcentral.
GACGAACGCUGGCGGCGCGCCUAACACAUGCAAGUCGAACGAGCGAGAGAGAGCUUGCUUUCUCGAGCGAGUGGCGAACGGGUGAGUAACGCGUGAGGAACCUGCCUCAAAGAGGGGGACAACAGUUGGAAACGACUGCUAAUACCGCAUAAGCCCACGGCUCGGCAUCGAGCAGGGGGAAAAGGAGCAAUCCGCUUUGAGAUGGCCUCGCGUCCGAUUAGCUAGUUGGUGGGGUAACGGCCCACCGAGGCGACGAUCGGUAGCCGGACUGAGAGGUUGAACGGCGACAUUGGGACUGAGACACGGCCCAGACUCCUACGGGAGGCAGCAGUGGGGAAUAUUGCACAAUGGGGGAAACCCUGAUGCAGCGACGCCGCGUGGAGGAAGAAGGUCUUCGGAUUGUAAACUCCUGUUGUUGGGGAAGAUAAUGACGGUACCCAACAAGGAAGUGACGGCUAACUACGUG